AGAGUUUGAUCAUGGCUCAGAUUGAACGCUGGCGGCAUGCCUAACACAUGCAAGUCGAACGCGAAGGGGGCUUGCCCUGAGUAGAGUGGCGGACGGGUGAGUAACGCGUAGGAAUCUGCCCAUUAGUGGGGGAUAACCCGGCGAAAGCCGGGCUAAUACCGCAUAUACCCUACGGGGUAAAGCAGGGGAUCUUCGGACCUUGCGCUAGUGGAUGAGCCUGCGUCGGAUUAGCUAGUUGGUAGGGUAAAGGCCUACCAAGGCGACGAUCCGUAGCUGGUCUGAGAGGAUGAUCAGCCACACUGGGACUGAGACACGGCCCAGACUCCUACGGGAGGCAGCAGUGGGGAAUAUUGGACAAUGGGGGCAACCCUGAUCCAGCAAUGCCGCGUGUGUGAAGAAGGCCUUCGGGUUGUAAAGCACUUUCGGUGGGGAGGAAAAAAGUCUGGCUAAUAUCCAGGCUCUUGACGUUACCCAAAGAAGAAGCACCGGCUAACUCUGUGCCAGCAGCCGCGGUAAUACAGAGGGUGCAAGCGUUAAUCGGAAUUACUGGGCGUAAAGCGUGCGUAGGUGGUUCGAUAAGUCAGAUGUGAAAGCCCUGGGCUCAACCUGGGAACUGCAUUUGAUACUGUCAAGCUAGAGUUUAGUAGAGGGAAGUGGAAUUCCACGUUUUAGCGGUGAAAUUGCGUAGAUAUGUGGAGGAACACCAGUGGCGAAGGCGGCUUCCUGGACUAAAAACUGACACUGAGGCACGAAAGC
RNAcentral lists this ribosomal RNA (756 nucleotides) under uncultured bacterium. Its description in RNAcentral is "bacterial SSU rRNA". It matches the Rfam family "Bacterial small subunit ribosomal RNA", at positions 8 to 760 of the family's 1533-position model. The record is from RNAcentral.